CGGACGGGUGAGUAACGCGUGGGUAACCUGCCUUAUACAGGGGGUAACGAGUCAGAAAUGACUGCUAAUACCGCAUAAGCGCACAGGACCGCAUGGUCCGGUGUGAAAAACUCCGGUGGUAUAAGAUGGACCCGCGUUGGAUUAGCUUGUUGGUGGGGCAACGGCUCACCAAGGCGACGAUCCAUAGCCGGCCUGAGAGGGUGAACGGCCACAUUGGGACUGAGACACGGCCCAG
Molecule: ribosomal RNA, 235 nt
Filed under: uncultured bacterium
Lineage: Bacteria
Description: partial 16S ribosomal RNA
Rfam family: Bacterial small subunit ribosomal RNA
Source: RNAcentral